This 395-nucleotide long non-coding RNA is filed under the name Mytilus galloprovincialis (Mediterranean mussel). Lineage: Eukaryota; Metazoa; Mollusca; Bivalvia; Mytilida; Mytilidae. The record is from RNAcentral.
CCAGGUUCAACCCACCACUUUUAUUCCCCUUUAAAAGUGUCCUGUACCAAGUCAGGAAGAUGGCCAUUGUUAUAUUAUUGUUCGUUUCUGUGUGUGUUGCAUUUUAACGUUGAGUCGUUUGUGUUUUCUCUUAUUUUUGAGAUAUUGAGAUAAGACGUGGCACGGUACUUGUCUAUCCCAAAUUCAUGUAUUUGGUUUUCAUGUUAUAUUUGUUAUUCUCGUGGUGUUUUGUCUGAUGCUUGGUCCGUUUCUCUGUGUGUUACGUUUCGGUGUUAUGUCGUUGUUCUCCUCUUAUAUUUAAUGCGUUUCCCUCGGUUUUAGUUUGUUACCCCGAUUUUGUUUUUUGUCCAUGGAUUUAUGAGUUUUGAACAGCGGUAUACUACUGUUGCCUUUAU